This 389-nucleotide ribosomal RNA is filed under the name uncultured bacterium. RNAcentral's name for it is "bacterial SSU rRNA". It matches the Rfam family "Bacterial small subunit ribosomal RNA", at positions 28 to 417 of the family's 1533-position model. The record is from RNAcentral.
GACGAACGCUGGCGGCGUGCUUAACACAUGCAAGUCGAACGGUGAAGGGAAGCUUGCUUCCCGGAUCAGUGGCGAACGGGUGAGUAACACGUGGGCAAUCUGCCCCAGACUUUGGGAUAACUACUCGAAAGAGUAGCUAAUACCGAAUAUUCAGCCUUGCAGGCAUCUGCGAGGCUGGAAAGUUUCUCGGUCUGGGAUGGGCCCGCGGCCUAUCAGCUAGUUGGUGAGGUAAUGGCUCACCAAGGCGACGACGGGUAGCCGGCCUGAGAGGGCGACCGGCCACACUGGGACUGAGACACGGCCCAGACUCCUACGGGAGGCAGCAGUGGGGAAUAUUGCGCAAUGGGCGAAAGCCUGACGCAGCAACGCCGCGUGCGGGAUGAAGGCCU